GUUUCCGUAGGUGAACCUGCUGCUGGAUCAUUACCCAAGUGAUUCCUAUUCACCAGUUACCUGCUGUCCAGUUGAGUUCAAUGUGGGCAACACCACAUGCCUCCGUCUGCUGCUGACGGACACAGACCCUACGGAGAGGGCUGGCACAUUGACCAACACUGAACGGACGGCGGCCCCCGUGGGCACGAGUUUGGGGUGCUACAGAGUUGGUGGUUCGAUGGGUGAGCCGGUUGCUGCCGUCGGCUCACUGCACCAACGGAGGUAGCACGCUCACAGGGGGCACCCAACGGCUGUGCUGGCGUCUAUGCGUCGUUGAGCGGUUGUUGCGCCUUGCGUGGACAUACUGACGUGGUGAGUUGGUCGUACCUCCCACGUCGUACCUACGGUACCCAGCGGUAUGUCUGUGCUUGUGUGCUACGUCCGUGACCGUGAUGAGACGACGUGUUAGGGCCCGUGCCUGGCAAUUGGCAUGUGGUUUAAGACUCAAUGAGUGCCCGACAGGCACCGCCAGUGUUUUCUCAUUUUCAAAAAUUUUUUCUAUGCAGCAUUGUUGCUAAAUAUUCUAGUCUUAUCGGUGGAUCACUCGGCUCGUGGAUCGAUGAAGAACGCAGCCAACUGCGAUAAUUAGUGUGAACUGCAGAAACUUUGAACACAGAACUUUCGAAUGCACAUUGCGCCAUUGGAGUAAUAUCCUUUGGCACGCCUGGUUCAGGGUCGUAACCAAAAAAUGCACUGCAUGUGCGUGUUUUGACUGCUAAGAUCACGCCCGGUCGUGUUCUUGCAUAAAGCCAUUGCUACGCUGUGUAGCGUUGGACGUGCUGGUGCGGAAAUGUGUUGUUCCUUCCGUGCUUUACAGACCGUAAUUUAGGCACGUCCCUCGUUCACAUGCGAUAGCUAAAUGCCUCGCCAAUAGGCAUUUGUACUUGACUGCUUCGACCUGAACUCAGACGUGGGUACCCGCUGAACUUAAGCAUAU
This 976-nucleotide ribosomal RNA is filed under the name Cactodera eremica. RNAcentral's name for it is "eukaryotic LSU rRNA". The stretch from base 564 to 717 matches the Rfam family "5.8S ribosomal RNA". Lineage: Eukaryota; Metazoa; Nematoda; Chromadorea; Rhabditida; Heteroderidae. The record is from RNAcentral.